GAUCAAGCAAGGAAGGGCGUACGGAGGAUGCCUUGCCACUCUUGAAUGAAGAAGGACGUAUUAGACUGCGAAAAGUCAUGGGGAGCUGUCAAAAAAGCGCCGAUCCAUGAAUAUCCGAAUGGGGAAACCCGGCUGGAGUCAAGUCCAGUCAUCCAUACUUGUAUGGAGAACAACCCGGUGAACUGAAACAUCUAAGUAGCUGGAGGAAAAGAAAACAAAAGUGAUUUUCCGAGUAGCGGCGAGCGAAAGGGAAAGAGCCCAAACCGUAGAAAUACGGGGUUGUAGGAACGCGAGAUACCAAAGGUAAGUCAACUAGAAUGUGAUGGAAAGCACAGACAGAGAGGGUGAAAUUCCCGUAUAGGUAAGCGAAGCCAAGUAGUUAGCGUCUCCUGAGUACGACGAGACACGAGGAAUCUUGUCGGAAGCAGGCGGGACCAUCCGCCAAGGCUAAAUAAGUAAGAGUGAGCGAUAGAGAAGAAGUACCGUGAGGGAAAGGUGAAAAGAACCGCGCAAGCGGAGUGAAAGAGAACCUGAAACCGUAUGCCUACAAGAAGUCAGAGCCCGUCAAAGGGUGAUGGCGUGCCUUUUGUAGAAUGAACCGGCGAGUUACUUUUGGAUGCGAGGUUAAGCAGGAGAAUGCGAAGCCGAAGCGAAAGCGAGUCUGAAUAGGGCGAAUAGAGUAGACAGAAGUAGACCCGAAACCGGGUGAUCUAGCCAUGGGCAGGUUGAAGCAAAGGUGAAACUUUGUGGAGGACCGAACCGACUACCGUUGAAAAGUUAGCGGAUGACCUGUGGCUAGCGGAGAAAUUCCAAUCGAACUCGGAGAUAGCUGGUUCUCCCCGAAAUAGCUUUAGGGCUAGCGUUAAUGGAAAGCUGGCGGAGGUAGAGCACUGAAUUCAUGAUGGCCCCAUCCCGGGGUACUGAAUGGAAUCAAACUGCGAAUGCCGUCAGCCAAUAGUUGGCAGUCAGAGCGUGGGUGAUAAGGUCCAUGCUCAAGAGGGAAACAGCCCAGACCGCCGGCUAAGGCCCCAAAAUGAUGACUCAGUGGAAAAGGAUGUGGAGAUGCACGGACAACUAGGAGGUUGGCUUAGAAGCAGCCAUCCUUGAAAGAGUGCGUAAUAGCUCACUAGUCGAGUGGCUCUGCGCCGAAAAUGUACCGGGGCUAAGUCAUCUGCCGAAGCCGCGGAUUUAAUUUAGAAUUAAGUGGUAGGGGAGCGUUGCAUAUUCAUCGAAGCAGGAUCGUGAGAGUCUGUGGAGGAUAUGGAAGUGAGAAUGCCGGUGUGAGUAGCGAGAUGCAGGUGGGAAUCCUGCACACCGAAAGCCCAAGGAUUCCAGGGGAAGGUUCGUCCGCCCUGGGUUAGUCGGGACCUAAUGUAUAGCCGAGAGGCGAAGCAGAUGGAAAACAGGCGAAGAUUCCUGUACCCGUGAUAAAGGCGAUGGAGUGACAAAGACGGGAAGUGUGACCCCCUUAAUGGAUUGGGGGCGAAGCGGAGCAGUGCAGAUCCAGGAAAAUCCGGAUCGAGACGCACAGAACGUGAUCGGUAAACGAAAUCUUCGGAAAGUAGUGAAGCACAUGGAGCGGCUUUCAAGAAAAGCUUCUAGCAAUACUUUAUUGCGGCCCGUACCAAAACCGACACAGGUGGGCACGUAGAGAAUACGAAGGUGAGCGAGAGAACUGUUGCCAAGGAACUCGGCAAAAUGGCCCCGUACGUUCGCAAGAAGGGGCGCUCGAGAGAGCCGCAGUGAAAAGGCCCAAGCGACUGUUUAACUAAAACACAGCUCUAUGCAAAGCCGUAAGGCGAAGUAUAUGGGGUGACACCUGCCCGGUGCUGGAAGGUUAAGGGGAUCUGUUCGUCGCAAGACAAAGCAGUGGUCCGAAGCCCCAGUGAACGGCGGCCGUAACUAUAACGGUCCUAAGGUAGCGAAAUUCCUUGUCAGGUAAGUUCUGACCCGCACGAAAGGUGAAACGAUUUGGGCGCUGUCUCGGCAGCAGACUCGGUGAAAUCUUAGUACCUGUGAAAAUGCAGGUUACCCGCAACUAGACGGAAAGACCCCAUGGAGCUUUACUGCAACCUGGUAUUGGGUUUUGGAUGAUGAUGUACAGGAUAGGCGGGAGACGAAGAAUUAGGAACGCCAGUUUCUAAGGAGUCGCCGUUGGGAUACCGCCCUUGAUGAUUUGAAACCCUAACGUAGAGAAGAUCACAGACAGUGCCAGGUGGGCAGUUUGACUGGGGCGGUCGCCUCCCAAAGAGUAACGGAGGCGCCCAAAGGUGCGUUCAGUCUGGAUGGAAACCAGACAAAGAGUGUAAAUGCAUAAGCGCGCUUGACUGCGACACCGACAAGUGGAGCAGGGACGAAAGUCGGGAUUAGUGAUCCGGCGGUGCCGAAUGGAAGGGCCGUCGCUCAACGGAUAAAAGCUACCCUGGGGAUAACAGGCUGAUCCCGCCCAAGAGUUCACAUCGACGGCGGGGUUUGGCACCUCGAUGUCGGCUCAUCGCAUCCUGGAGCUGGAUUCGGUUCCAAGGGUUGGGCUGUCCGCCCAUUAAAGCGGUACGCGAGCUGGGUUCAGAACGUCGUGAGACAGUUCGGUCCCUAUCUGUUGUGGGCGAAGGAGAUCUGAGGGGAGCUGUCCUUAGUACGAGAGGACCGGGAUGGACCUACCACUGGUGCAUCGG
This 2675-nucleotide ribosomal RNA is filed under the name gut metagenome. RNAcentral describes it as "bacterial LSU rRNA". It matches the Rfam family "Bacterial large subunit ribosomal RNA". The record is from RNAcentral.